This 429-nucleotide ribosomal RNA is filed under the name Bacillota bacterium. RNAcentral describes it as "Firmicutes bacterium partial 16S ribosomal RNA". It matches the Rfam family "Bacterial small subunit ribosomal RNA", at positions 355 to 776 of the family's 1533-position model. The record is from RNAcentral. Lineage: Bacteria; Bacillati; Bacillota.
UAGGGAAUCUUCGGCAAUGGACGGAAGCCUGACCGAGCAACGCCGCGUGAGUGAAGAAGGUUUUCGGAUCGUAAAGCUCUGUUGUUAGAGAAGAACGUUGGUAGGAGUGGAAAAUCUACCAAGUGACGGUAACUAACCAGAAAGGGACGGCUAACUACGUGCCAGCAGCCGCGGUAAUACGUAGGUCCCGAGCGUUGUCCGGAUUUAUUGGGCGUAAAGCGAGCGCAGACGGUUCUUUAAGUCUGAAGUUAAAGGCAGUGGCUUAACCGUUGUACGCUUUGGAAACUGGAGGGAUUGAGUGCAGAAGGGGAGGGUUGAAUUCCAUGUGUAGCGGUGAAAUGCGUAGAUAUAUGGAGGAACACCGGUGGCGAAAGCGGCUCUCUGGUCUGUAACUGACGCUGAGGCUCGAAAGCGUGGGGAGCAAACAGG